AUUAUAAUAAUAUAAGGUAGUAAAUUCUUUAUUUAAAACCUAUUUAUAAUGGCGGCAUUUUAUCUUAAUAGAGGAACCUGUAUUUUAAUCGACAAUCCACGUUAAAUUUCACUUAAAUUAAAAAUUUAUAUACCGCCAUCUAAAAAACUAAUUUUAUAAUAUUAUUUUAAAUAAAAAAUAAAAAGUUAGGUCAAGGUGUAAUCUAUAUUUAAGGAAAUAAUGGGUUACAUUAAAAUAAAUUUAAGGACUUUUAUAUAAAAAUAUAUCAUAAAAAAGGAUUUAUAAGUAUUAUUAUAAUAAUAUUCUAUUAUGAUUAAGAUAAUAAAUGUGCACAUAUCGCCCGUCACCCUUAUCAUAAAGGUAAGGU
This 367-nucleotide ribosomal RNA is filed under the name Lycosa coelestis. RNAcentral's name for it is "partial 12S ribosomal RNA". Lineage: Eukaryota; Metazoa; Arthropoda; Arachnida; Araneae; Lycosidae. The record is from RNAcentral.